Long non-coding RNA from Medicago truncatula (barrel medic), 1815 nucleotides. RefSeq lists it as uncharacterized. The transcript is spliced from 3 exons. The record is from RefSeq and is a predicted model, not a curated record. NCBI's taxonomy places the organism in Eukaryota, Viridiplantae, Streptophyta, Magnoliopsida, Fabales, Fabaceae.
AUAUAUACUUUGUUUCAAUGUAUCUUUUUUUUCAAUGCAGAAGGUGAAUGUUCAAUCCGUAAAAGCAAUUAGAUAGAUUUCAAAACAUUCACUAGAAGGUGAUUGUCAUGAUCGUUGCUGAUCUAGAUCGGUAUUCAUCAUAAUAUUCAUCGUUUUUCAUGCUUUAUUGGCUGUUUUUGGAUGUAGUUCUUGAUUACUUCAAUAUAAUUAGGGAGAAAAAAGAGUGGAGGGGAUUGAGAAUGUGGCAGGUAUAUAACUUUGAUGUGAAGAUAAUGGAGAGUGGCACUUUGAUGAGAAGGUGAUGCUCUGUUAGUGUGUGUUAUGAUGCGCCGUGUGUUUUAGGUAUGUAAUUUUUUUUCCUACUUCAGUUUCAAGUUUGCCUUUGGUGUUAAUGUUUAGCCGUUUUGUACGAUAGAGUUUGUUCAUUCAGUUUUACUCUUUUCCCAAUCAUUGUUGCAUGCGUGAAUUCAUUACCCUCUUGUUUAGGACUUCUCAUGUAUAAAUAGGGACCGUUUGUUUUAUUAUGAUUCACAUUAUCUUAAAAUUACUUAUAUCUUUCCUUUUUAUUACUCUCUCUAACACUUAUUUGUGUUUUUUCGCAAACUAUUUUCCCUGGAUUGUGUGAUAAAGGAAGGUUAAGCCUGAAUUGAGAAUGGCAGGUUCCUGAUACAUUAGUUUGCUUUUCUUCCUUUAAUUUAUACCUUCGUGAAUGUUAUUGUUACUUGAAUAUUUUUUUAUAAAUCUUAGGCGUUUAAAAUUGAAAUUAUUCUGCUUACUGGUAGUAUUAAGUUGAACUAAGCUUUAACAAUAUGUCAUGGCUUCAUUUUGUAGUAUAAAUGCACAAUUAGACCUAAAGUUCUUUUUGUCUCUUACACUCAUACAAUAAAAAGAAAAACCAUGACCAUGUGUAUUAGACAAAUUUCAAGUUUGCAAUGUCAGGAUCUAUCAAUUACCGAGAUAAGUUCAUGUUUAAGUUUGCAAUGUUUGAUUUGUGGCAGUUGGCAAGUUUUGCUGCGGUUGGGGUUCUUAAGCAACUUUUUCUCAACUUUUUGUUGCAUUCUCAACUCUGUUCUCACAUUAACAUCUUUUUCUGCUGUGUAUUCUCAGCUAUUUCUUUCUCUCCCAUUCAAGCAAAUAUCAGGUGAGACAUUAAAACAAAAUCCAACAUUGUCCCCCAUUAUAGUUGCAGAUUUUAGCGAUUAUGAGCAGGUUAGGCAUUGUGAUAGUGAAUGUGAUUCGGAACAUUGCAGGACAAAUUGUUUAUAAAGAGAUUGUCUGGUCUAAUUUUGAUUGUGCAGGAUGUGUAGUGCUUUUAUAAUUCUCAAGAACCCCAACCGAGAUGGUUUUGCCAGUGUAACCCCUGGCAAAAAGUUAGCGACGAGUGGUUUUGCCCAUGCUUCCGCCCCUAGCAAAUUCCCUCACAAACGUCCCUUUUCCCAGGGAUUCUGUCCUUUUCUCAAGGAUUUUGCCCCUGACAAAAGUCAAUUAAAGGAUAUUAUUGAUUCAACUCACGAGAAGCUUUCAUCGGAGUCUGGAUAUAGCAAGUCACCAAGUCAACUCAUCAAGCAUAGAGAAGACAAUUUAGCCUUAGUAGAAGUUAGUUAUAACCGAUUACUUUCUAUUCAAGUAAUCUAGUUAUCUAGCUUAUUCUAUAAAUAGCUUCAAUGUAACUUACAUUCUCUUUGAGUCAAUGAAUCAAAACUUGAAUUUUUCUCCGAGAUGUUUAUUAUCAAUCCAAGGCCUCGAAUGCAAUCCACCCUUUUUGCAGUUUCAAACAUUCCUCCCAUUUUCUCGAAGAUGUUUGGAUAAAGCACU